This 21-nucleotide non-coding RNA is filed under the name Caenorhabditis elegans. Lineage: Eukaryota; Metazoa; Nematoda; Chromadorea; Rhabditida; Rhabditidae. The record is from RNAcentral.
UGGAAUUAAUACAGUAUUGUU